RNAcentral lists this ribosomal RNA (492 nucleotides) under uncultured bacterium. RNAcentral's name for it is "partial 16S ribosomal RNA". It matches the Rfam family "Bacterial small subunit ribosomal RNA", at positions 29 to 507 of the family's 1533-position model. The record is from RNAcentral.
AGUGAACGCUGGCGGUAGGCCUAACACAUGCAAGUCGAACGGCAGCACACUAAGAGCUUGCGCUUACGGGUGGCGAGUGGCGGGCGGGUGAGGAAUGUAUCGGGCUCUACAUUUUCGGGGGGCAUAACGUAGGGAAACCUAAGCUAAUACAGCAUACGCCCUACGGGUGAAAGCAGGGGAAAUUCGCACCUGGCGCGAUUGAAUGAGCCGCUGUCGGGGUAGCUAGUGGGCGGGGUAAAGGCCCACCAAGGCGACGAUCGGUAGCUCGUCUGUGAGGAUGAUCAGCGGCACUGGAACUGGAACGCGCACCAGACUCCUACGAGACGCACCAGUCGGGAAUAUUAGACAAUGGGCGCAAGCCUGGUCCAGCCGUCCCGCGUCGGUGAAGAAGACCUUCGGGUCGGAAAGCCGGUUUGUUGGGUAAGAACAGCUUCAGCUUAAGACGCAGCGUUACUGACGGUACCGAAUGAAUAAGCACCGGCUAACUUCGUG